RNAcentral lists this long non-coding RNA (397 nucleotides) under Heterocephalus glaber (naked mole-rat). RNAcentral's name for it is "lncRNA (ENSHGLG00100045016.1)". The record is from RNAcentral. Lineage: Eukaryota; Metazoa; Chordata; Mammalia; Rodentia; Bathyergidae.
CCGCUACUGAAACCUGGGAUUUCUCUGAUGCAAUAUGAUAGAGGCCAGGAGGACUCAAGCAACUGCUAACGUCUUUAGAAUCGCUGUCGUUGCUUCCAAAGGCUGUGAGAUCACAGACUUCAGAUGCAGAAGACACUGCCCUUCUGGACGCUUCUUGGGUCAGCACUUCCUCUUCUGAGCCCACAUGGAAACCUACAUACAUCCCCACCUUCCUGACCACCCUGGGGACCAGCGACUGGGGCUGUGUGACAACCUCCUGGCACAGGGCCACCCUGAGCUCCUUCAGCUGGCCUCUGACUUUCGUGUCAUCCUCAAAAUUGCGAGCACACACCUCUGUGGAGAAGGCAACAGAUAAUAUUCAAAUUCCACUGCUCGGCCCUGCUGGCCGGGAGAGACC